This 646-nucleotide ribosomal RNA is filed under the name uncultured fungus. RNAcentral's name for it is "eukaryotic LSU rRNA". The stretch from base 231 to 385 matches the Rfam family "5.8S ribosomal RNA". Lineage: Eukaryota; Fungi. The record is from RNAcentral.
UAGAGGAAGUAAAAGUCGUAACAAGGUUUCCGUAGGUGAACCUGCGGAAGGAUCAUUAUCGUACAAGGAAAGGCUCUAGGCUGUCGCUGGCUAGGUGAUUCUAGCAUUCGUGCACGUCUAUUCCUUUUCUAAUUUCAACUACACCUGUGCACCUAUUGUAGAUCUUUAUUGAUCUAUGUUUAAUCUCACACCUAAAUCGUAUGUCAUUAGAAUGUAAACACAAAUAUUACAACUUUCAGCAAUGGAUCUCUUGGCUCUUGCAUCGAUGAAGAACGCAGCGAAUUGCGAUAAGUAAUGUGAAUUGCAGAUUUUCAGUGAAUCAUCGAAUCUUUGAACGCACCUUGCGCUCCUUGGUAUUCCGAGGAGCAUGCCUGUUUGAGUGUCAUUUAAUUAUCAACCUAUAUAUUUUGUAUAUAUAGGCUUGGACUUGGGAAUUGCUGGCUUUUGAUAGUCAGCUGUCCUUAAAAGCAUUAGUGGAGUCGUGCACGGCCUCUGACGUGAUAAUGAUCGUUGGUGGGCUGGAAGCGUACUUCAGGUUCAGGUCAGGACGACCUAGUUAUCACUAACGAAAGUUCUUCCUAUUCCGAUGAAUUUGACCUCAAAUCAGGUAGGACUACCCGCUGAACUUAAGCAUAUCAAUAAGCCG